ACGGUUAUAAAUCAACAUAUUGAUUUAUAAGCAUGGAAAUCCCCUGAGUGAAACGACGAAUUGCUGUGUGUAGUCUUUGCCCAUCUCCCACGAUGGGCUUUUUUUUAA
This 108-nucleotide non-coding RNA is filed under the name Escherichia coli. RNAcentral's name for it is "antisense sRNA RprA". It matches the Rfam family "RprA RNA". From Rfam's summary of the family: Translational regulation of the stationary phase sigma factor RpoS is mediated by the formation of a double-stranded RNA stem-loop structure in the upstream region of the rpoS messenger RNA, occluding the translation initiation site. Clones carrying rprA (RpoS regulator RNA A) increased the translation of RpoS. Lineage: Bacteria; Pseudomonadati; Pseudomonadota; Gammaproteobacteria; Enterobacterales; Enterobacteriaceae. The record is from RNAcentral.